UGUGGCUGUGCUGGUUCCUGGAUGUGUGCUGAACACAUUACAAUUUUUUUAGCCUGGAACUUGUUUUCAUUUCAGAGUUCAGAUCUUAUGUAGUAAAUGAUGUUUACUUAAACUUAGCAGCAAUGGGAAAGAUGUACAAGAAGAAACAAGAUGAGAAACAUGAACCUUGAAGAGGAGGAUUUGGGGAAAAGAUUGAUGGUGGUGGUAGCAGCAGCAGUAAAAAACCAGUUGGAAAACACAAACCUGAGGAGACAGGGAUUUGAAAUUAAGUGAAGGCUGAUUUGGAAAUGGCAUACUUGAUGUGAAGCAUUUGUUGAAGUCAACACCUACAAGAGGUCAUUAUACUCU
This is a long non-coding RNA of Trifolium pratense (red clover), 348 nucleotides long. RefSeq lists it as uncharacterized. The transcript is spliced from 3 exons. NCBI's taxonomy places the organism in Eukaryota, Viridiplantae, Streptophyta, Magnoliopsida, Fabales, Fabaceae. The record is from RefSeq and is a predicted model, not a curated record.